CGCUGGCGGCGUGCCUAACACAUGCAAGUCGAACGAGAAAGUCUCCGCAAGGGGAUGAGUAAAGUGGCGACCGGGUGAGUAACACGUAGCUAACCUACCCUCGAGUGGGGGAUAACCUGGGGAAACCUGGUCUAAUACCGUAUUACAUCCCGACGGCGCAAGCCGAUGGGAGCAAAGGCCCGCAAGGGCCGCUGGAGGAGGGGGCUGCGGCCGAUUAGCUAGUUGGUGAGGUAAUGGCCCACCAAGGCGAUGAUCGGUAGCCGCGCUGAGAGGGCGCACGGACACACUGGCACUGACACACGGCACAGUCUCCUACGGGAGGCAGCAGUGGGGAAUUGUGCACAAUCCCCGAAAGGGUGAUGCAGCAACGCCGCGUGAGGGAUGAAGGUCUUCGUGUCGUAAAACCUCUUUCGAUCGG
Molecule: ribosomal RNA, 418 nt
Filed under: uncultured bacterium
Lineage: Bacteria
Description: bacterial SSU rRNA
Rfam family: Bacterial small subunit ribosomal RNA
Source: RNAcentral